RNAcentral lists this ribosomal RNA (377 nucleotides) under uncultured bacterium. RNAcentral's name for it is "bacterial SSU rRNA". It matches the Rfam family "Bacterial small subunit ribosomal RNA", at positions 524 to 898 of the family's 1533-position model. The record is from RNAcentral.
GACGAACCGUGCGACCGUUAUUCGGAAUCACUGGGCUUAAAGCGCGUGUAGGCGGAUCGGAACGUCGGUGCCUGAAAUCCCCCGGCUCAACCGGGGAACGCGGCCCGAAACGGCCGAUCUCGAGGGACGUAGGGGGAUCUGGAACUUCCGGUGGAGCGGUGAAAUGCGUUGAGAUCGGAAGGAACGCCCGUGGCGAAAGCGAGAUCCUGGACGUCUUCUGACGCUGAGACGCGAAAGCUAGGGGAGCGAACGGGAUUAGAUACCCCGGUAGUCCUAGCCGUAAACGAUGAGCACUGGGUAGGGGGCUCGCCGAUGGGCUCCCUGCCGCAGGGAAACCGUGAAGUGCUCCGCCUGGGGAGUAUGGUCGCAAGGCUGAA